RNAcentral lists this ribosomal RNA (941 nucleotides) under Pseudoceros hancockanus. Its description in RNAcentral is "partial large subunit ribosomal RNA". It matches the Rfam family "Eukaryotic large subunit ribosomal RNA", at positions 107 to 857 of the family's 3401-position model. Lineage: Eukaryota; Metazoa; Platyhelminthes; Polycladida; Pseudocerotidae. The record is from RNAcentral.
GCCCAGCACCGAAUCCUUCACCAUCUCGGUGACAGGAAAUGUGGUGUUUAGGCCGUACCUUGUCCCGACACGUCUCUCCUCAAGUCCACUUGAUUGUGGCCCCAGGCCCAGAGAGGGUGUAAGGCCCGUGGAGGCGAGACGUUCGGUACCCGGUGCGUCCUUAGAGUCGGGUUGUUUGGGAAUGCAGCCCUAAGCGGGUGGUAAACUCCAUCCAAGGCUAAAUACCAGCACGAGUCCGAUAGCGAAGAAGUACCGCGAGGGAAGGUUGAAAAGAACUUUGAAGAGAGAGUUCAAGAGUACGUGAAACCGCUGAGAGGCAAACUGGUGGAACUGAAAUGGUCCCGAGGAAUUCAGCCGUUGGUGUUUGCACAGUCUUUGGUGCUUGAUUUAACGACAACGCCAUUGAAUGACGUUUUCAUCAUCGGUGCACUUUCCUCGUUAUGGGCCCGACCACGACCGGUGAGCUGAUCUGUCUGUCGUGCUUGGAAGAUAGCGCCAUCUUCGGAAGGCGUGUUAUAGACUUGCAUACGGAGCAGUCGGCGCACUGGAUGAAAGUGCCUGCCCAUUGGGCUCAUAUGGUGGUUGUUUUGUCGGCGAGUUCUGGUGUCACUACUUCGGUAGAGUCACUGGACUGUGUUGGCCUUAUGAUUGUCCUCUAUGAUUGGCACUGUUAAGUCUGUGGUUGUGAAGUAGGUAGUCCACCUGACCCGUCUUGAAACACGGACCAAGGAGUCUAACAUGUGCGCGAGUCAUUGGGUUCACGAAACCUAAAGGCGCAGUGAAGGUGAAGAUCUGCUUUGGCAGAUUGAGGUGGGAUGCUGGGUCACGCGCCCAGCCGCACUACCGGCCCGUUCUAUAUGUAUCUCAUAGGAGCGGAGCAAGAGCGUACACGUUGGGACCCGAAAGAUGGUGAACUAUGCUUGCGCAGGUCGAAGCCAGAG